This 66-nucleotide transfer RNA is filed under the name [Eubacterium] brachy. It matches the Rfam family "tRNA". From Rfam's summary of the family: Transfer RNA (tRNA) molecules are approximately 80 nucleotides in length. Their secondary structure includes four short double-helical elements and three loops (D, anti-codon, and T loops). Further hydrogen bonds mediate the characteristic L-shaped molecular structure. tRNAs have two regions of fundamental functional importance: the anti-codon, which is responsible for specific mRNA codon recognition, and the 3' end, to which the tRNAs corresponding amino acid is attached (by aminoacyl-tRNA synthetases). tRNAs cope with the degeneracy of the genetic code in two manners: having more than one tRNA (with a specific anti-codon) for a particular amino acid; and 'wobble' base-pairing, i.e. permitting non-standard base-pairing at the 3rd anti-codon position. RNAcentral also lists the same sequence under 3 other names. The record is from RNAcentral. Lineage: Bacteria; Bacillati; Bacillota; Clostridia; Peptostreptococcales; Anaerovoracaceae.
GGCAUAGCUCAGUUGGUAGAGCAGCUGAUUUGUAAUCAGCAGGUCGGGGGUUCAAGUCCCUCUGCC